RNAcentral lists this ribosomal RNA (270 nucleotides) under uncultured Pseudomonas sp. Its description in RNAcentral is "partial 16S ribosomal RNA". It matches the Rfam family "Bacterial small subunit ribosomal RNA", at positions 1113 to 1382 of the family's 1533-position model. Lineage: Bacteria; Pseudomonadati; Pseudomonadota; Gammaproteobacteria; Pseudomonadales; Pseudomonadaceae. The record is from RNAcentral.
AGUUACCAGCACGUUAUGUGGGCACUCUAAGGAGGACUGCCGGUGGACAAACCGGAGGAAGUGGGGAUGACGUCAAGUCAUCAUGGCCCUUACGGCCUGGGCUACACACGUGCUACAAUGGUCGGUACAAAGGGUUGCCAAGCCGCGAGGUGGAGCUAAUCCCAUAAAACCGAUCGUAGUCCGGAUCGCAGUCUGCAACUCGACUGCGUGAAGUCGGAAUCGCUAGUAAUCGUGAAUCAGAAUGUCACGGUGAAUACGUUCCCGGGCCUU